AUGCAGAACUCCAUGCACCACACGCCUUUCCCUCUCCUCCCCUUUGGGGAAAGUUGGCUUCUAGGACUGGUGGGUUUUCGAGAGGUGGCGGUGCGUUUAGAGGCUUUACUAAGGUGCAAGAAGCCGGUUGACGGGCGACUUCGUAAGGCUGGUGCGGGGAGAGGAGGCCAGUUUGCAGAGUUAAAGCCUGACCCCCGGGGCCUGACGCGCCAAACUCGGGGGCUCCGGAGAAGCCGCAGACGCCUCGGCGCACCUGUUGUCGCCGUCACUCAUCCCCGCCGAGCGGGCGGGGCGGCGCGGGCCGCUUGGCCGGGAACCGCCGCGCCGCCCCGUCCGAGCUCCGGCGUCAACCUUAGACCCGCGCCCGCUGAGCACAGCCCGGCCGUCGCACAGCCGGCCAGCGAUGGAUCUACCUGCGCGCUUCCAGGGGAACACCUGAUAGAAACAGAAUGCUGCUGCUGCUGCUAAGUCGCUUCAGUCGUGUCUGACUCUGUGCGACCCCAUAGACGGCAGCCCACCAGGCUCCUCUGUCCCUGGGAUUCUCCAGGCAAGAACACUGGAGUGGGUUGCCAUUUCCUUCUCCAUUGGAUGAAAGUGAAAAGUGAAAGUGAAGUUGCUCAGUCAUGUCCGACUCUUCGCGACCCCAUGGACUGUAGCCUACCAGGCUCCUCCGUCCAUGGGAUUUACCAGGCAAGAGUACUGGAGUGGGUUGCCAUUUCCUUUUCCAGAUAGAAACAGAAUAAUCCCAGGAAAAAUUCAAGCUUUUUUCUUAGCGCACCUCAGAGAUUGCAGUGAAUACCAGGAACAUAGAUCCAGUAAACGAAAAUUGUCUGAAAAUACAGGUUGCAAGUUGUAUUUAAUGACUGUAGGUUUGAAAAUAUAAGUUUGUCCUCUGUUGGUUCCAUGUUCAAGAAAAUAUCUGUAUUGGUUAUGAUGGGGCAACAUAAUUAAAAAGCAAAACCUUCUUGCAACCCAGAAAACGUUUCCUCAAAGGUGAAAUUUACUGAAUAAGCAUGAAACUUGUGGUACCACAUUGGUACCAAUGUGUACCAAUGGACAGACAAUCCACUCAUGAGAGACUGCAAAGACAGAAAGUAAUCUUACCCCCUUAUAUAGUCAACAGGUACAACCUGUUACAUCACACACAGUUCGUCACAGCUUUACCCAAUAAUUGGAGUGACUAUCUUAUUGGCUUUAUCCAGAAGAAAAGGAAACUGCUUAUAUCUUUGUAACAGGAGGUACUUUUGCAAACUACAGCAAAGCAACCAUCAAACUUGGGCUCUUACCUUACUGAAACUGGGAGAUAGUGGAGCUGUAACCCUUGAAAUUUGAAUUUCCAAUUCACAGCUCAGAAAUGUACUUGAGGAAACAUUUCUGAGUUGUGAGACUGGCAAGAGACUUAUUUAGCUAUGAAACAGAUUUACAUAUGUUUGGAAAGCAUGGAGAAAGAAAUUCUGAAAGAAAAAAG
Molecule: long non-coding RNA, 1468 nt
Filed under: Bos indicus x Bos taurus (hybrid cattle)
Lineage: Eukaryota; Metazoa; Chordata; Mammalia; Artiodactyla; Bovidae
Description: lncRNA (ENSBIXG00005009135.1)
Source: RNAcentral